RNAcentral lists this ribosomal RNA (406 nucleotides) under uncultured bacterium. Its description in RNAcentral is "partial 16S ribosomal RNA". It matches the Rfam family "Bacterial small subunit ribosomal RNA", at positions 28 to 526 of the family's 1533-position model. The record is from RNAcentral.
GAUGAACGCUAGCUACAGGCUUAACACAUGCAAGUCGAGGGACCGGCGCACGGGUGAGUAACACGUAUCCAACCUGCCCUUUACUCGGGGAUAGCCUUUCGAAAGAAAGAUUAAUACCCGAUGUAAAGGAUGGGGAUGCGUUCCAUUAGUUUGUUGGUGAGGUAACGGCUCACCAAGCCUUCGAUGGAUAGGGGUUCUGAGAGGAAGGUCCCCCACAUUGGAACUGAGACACGGUCCAAACUCGUACGUGAGGCAGCAGUGAGGAAUAUUGGUCACUGGGCGUGAGCCUGACCCAGCCAAGUAGCGUGAAGGAUGAAGGCUUAUGGGUCGUAAACUUCUUUUAUAUAAGAAGAUGUAUUAGAUGAAUAAGGAUCGGCUAACUCCGUGCCAGCCGCCGCGGUAAUAC